GCAACAUCCCAGAAUUUGACUCGUACAGAAUUUAUCAACACUCUUUCCAUCGAUUUAUAUGGUGUCUCUUAAGAAGUGAUAGCUAUUAUUUCAAUUUUACACAUUCCAGUUUGUAAUCCAGAAUGCCACUAAAGAUAGAUUUCAGUCUAUGGCUUUUGACUCGUUUCGUGUGGCCUCCAGACCUCGACGAGGACCCAAUAAAAAUCGAACGAUUAUAUUUUGGACGCAUAUUGACAGUUCGUUUCCUAUUUAGUUUGAUUGUAUCACUAUCAUUAAUCUUCUACGUGUGGAAAGUUCAAGGGUUCAAAAGUCACAAAAUAACAGUGAGGGCGAUCGCCGGAUAUGUGAUAUGUUUAGUUAUACUCACUAUUAUUGUUUUGGACACUGAACAAUUGUAUCAUCAUUAUUGGUACCAAGAGCACCUUGGGAAACUUGUUGUGUUGUUUAAGUUAUCUGAGAUUGUUUUAGACGUGUUUACAAUGUCUCAGUGUACUUUUCCAAAGAGAGAGGACAUCAGAAUAAUUGGAGGGAUAGCUGCGGCAAGCUACUCCCUUGACUUCGUUGAAAUAUUGUUAAUAUGGUUUGGCAUAACUAUUGAUUAAGUGAUACUGUAACUUUUGAAAAUAUGAACUUUAGAUUUAUAGGAAUUUUUAUUAAUGAACGCAGUAAUUUACCUUAGUGUGCAUAUAUGCAGUUAUGUGAAUUAGAAACCAUCAAUAGUAUUCAUGAUAUUGCUUAAUCAGUUCAGCAUGUUCAGGGACAGUCCCUGAUCAGUUUUAAAUCUAGAUCUUGUGCAACAUUUUACAUGAUGUAUCUGUUAACAUUUGUACAUCAAAAAAUAUGCAAUGGUUAUUUGAAUACAAAACAUUGAUUAUUAUUUUAUUAUCAAGAUUUACCAUUAUUUAUGAUACAUGUAUAUGGGGAGAAAAAUAAUCGGGUACACUAUAAAUACAUACAGUGUGUAUAUGGCAAAAAUUUGUGAUUCAAAAGCCUAUUACAUGUACAUUGUGCAUGUUGUAGCUUGCUGGGUAAAAUGUUUAAUAAAAAAAUAUUUUUUCUAAUUACUAUUUUUAAUGUGGUAUUGGAAUAUGUAGCAAAAUGCAUAUUUUCUUCACACAUGUACAAUGUACAGUGUAUAUCCAUGACAAUUCAUGAUAUAUAUUGGGACAAAAAAUUAAUGAUCAUAAUGAAAAUCAAAAUUUAUUUCUCAAUAAAUUUUUAAUUCCAUGAUACAUGUAUGUUUUAGUCUUUGUGUCUUUUCUGUCAUCUUUUGAUCCAUUUUGCAGUUCCUACAUUUGUACUUUUAAGUCUUAUAUUUGGCGUAUUGUUUGAUAAGUGCAUGAAUUUUUGUACAUAAACAAAAUCAUCAAUCAAUAUGCCUCCAUUUUUCAGAAAUUUACAUGAAACUUAAGCUAUUUUUUUUGUACAUGGACAUGUAAAAUUAAUUAAAUUUUGGAAAAUGUACAUACAUGUAUUUGUAUGUACAUUUUGUACAAUGUAGACUAGUACAAACAAAUGCUGUAUUCAUAAAUCACUUUUACAGGCAUCCUAACAUUUAGAUACAUUUAUACACCAAACAUUAAAUCAAUCCCUCAAUUAGUUCAGAUACAUGUACACUGAACAUGCUGAACCUGGUUUUUUACAAUGCAUAUAUAGAUAUAUAUGCAUAUACAUUUACAUGUCAUAUAUAAAUGAAGAUAUACACGUAUCAUACCACAUCUCCUUAUUUUAUAUUAGUCCCAUUUUAUUCUACACAAUUUUAUAUUUUGAUACUAGUAUUUUUCUCUUACAUAUGUACUGUACAAUGUAUAUUGAUAUUUUUUUACUAAUCUUUGCUGUUUUUUAUAUCAUGGUUAACCUUGGCUUUUACUUUUAUUUUUACAUUUACAUAAUUUUGUACAUGUACUGUACAUGUGUAAUAAUGAGUGCAAUGUGACUGAAACUUAAUUUGUCAGAUGUUCAAAAUGUGCAAACUGUACAUGUACAUUGUACAAUGUAAACUGUAUAUGUACAUUUUUUGUACUUUGUUUAAAGUAUUGGGAAUGAUGUCUAAAUCAUUUUAACAUGUUUAAAAAAUAAUAUACAUUUCCAUGUACAUAUAUACUAGUCUAAAUAAAUGUACAUGUACAAUGUAUAUUAUGUAUAUGAUAUCUAAUGUCAUGAUGCCAAAAAAAAAAAUUAUUUUAUAUUUUAUUUAUUAAAAACAUUCCACAUAAAACAACUAUAAAACAAUUAAGUCAAAUCAGAAAAUGCAGCAGCAAUUCAAUUAUGGGACAAACUAUUCAAUUCUAAUAUCAAAUUCAAUUAAUUCACUUUCAUCUUAACUUCACUUUACAUAUCAAAGCAUUAUUAAAAGAAAAAUUUGAUAUGAAAGUACCCAAGUAAUUUUUGAAAAUAUAUUUUUUUCAAUAUUCCAUAUUUUACUGAUAAAUAGACUUGAAUUAUUAUGCAGCUAACAUUUAAAGACAGUCUAAGGUAAAAGUUUUUCAUUCAUCAAUAUGACUUAACAAAACCUUCAAUCAAUUUUUAUAGAAAAUUUUACAGAAGCUUUUUUAUGAUAAAGGGAUAACAUCUGAAUCAAAAUAUUGAAAACUUUUUUUUUCAACUUCUAAUUUUUUGCUGAAAGAUUGACUUACAUGUACGGCAGAGGCAGGUUUAAUGCAUAUGCACAAAUUAUACAAUAUCAUAAUCAUAUAUUUGUACUAAAGGCCCUUGGGAAAAAGACCCCUCCUUCCCUUUUUUUGUUUGCAUUUAAAGAUUUUUUUCAUCAAAUUUACUUUAAUAUUACAACUUAUUUCCCAUUUUUUUAUGGAUAAGAACAAGAAAACAUAAUAGAACUACAAUUGUUGAAAUCAUUUUAAUGAAUUAAUGACAUAAUUAAACAAUGUUAUAGCAAAGAAUUAAAUGCAAACAGGUACAGAUUUUAGAUGGAGGGCAUGUUAGCACAUUUUCUUGUCUGAAAAAGGACAAUUUUAUCAUGUUUAUACACGUAGAUGAAUAGUUGAAAUAAUUAAAUGAAACAAUAUAAUAUUGCCAGGGGCAGAUCCAGCCAUUUUUAAAAGGGGGGUUCUAACCCAGGAUAAAAGGGGGGGGGGGGGGGUCCAACCAUAUGUCCCCAUUCAAAAGCAUUGAUCGUCAAUAAAAAGGGGCCCCCCGGACCCCCCCUUUUGGACCCGCCACUGUAUUGCUAGAUUUAUAUAUAAUACUAAAUGUAUGGGGCCGCAAAAAGCUUUUUCUAUUAAUUGAACUUAAGGGAUUAGUUUACACUGAAAAGUAAUUAAUUUCAUUCAGAAAACCAACAUACAUAGCACCAAUAAGUGUACAGGUAGAGCGUUAACUGAAAGGAAAGAGGGAGCACAGAAAGGGCAGAGGGGAUCAAAGAAAGGGCAGAGGGGAUCGUAGAAAAUGCCGACAGGAGCACAGAAAGAUUGUUUGAUUGCUGUCCUUUUUAAGUUUACCCCAUAUUUCCUUUUAUUAAUAAAUAUAAUGAUUAAUGAAAUAUUGAAUUUCAUUUGUCAUGAACACAAAAUC
Mytilus californianus (California mussel) is the source of this 3531-nucleotide long non-coding RNA. RefSeq lists it as uncharacterized. The transcript is spliced from 2 exons. The record is from RefSeq and is a predicted model, not a curated record. Lineage: Eukaryota; Metazoa; Mollusca; Bivalvia; Mytilida; Mytilidae.